UAGUCCACGCCGUAAACGAUGGAUACUAGCUGUUCGGACUUCGGUCUGAGUGGCCAAGCGAAAGUGAUAAGUAUCCCACCUGGGGAGUACGUUCGCAAGAAUGAAACUCAAAGGAAUUGACGGGGGCCCGCACAAGCGGUGGAGCAUGUGGUUUAAUUCGAUGAUACGCGAGGAACCUUACCUAGGCUCGAACGCUAUUCGACAUCACCUGAAAGGGUGUUUCUCUUCGGAGUGGAUAGUGAGGUGCUGCAUGGUUGUCGUCAGCUCGUGCCGUGAGGUGUUGGGUUAAGUCCCGCAACGAGCGCAACCCUUAUUCUUAGUUGCCAGCAUGUAAUGAUGGGGACUCUAGGAAGACUGCCGGCGUAAGCCGUGAGGAAGGUGGGGACGACGUCAAAUCAUCAUGGCCUUUAUGCCUAGGGCUACACACGUGCUACAAUGGUGCAUACAGCGGGUAGCGAAAUCGCGAGGUGGAGCUAAUCUUGUAAAGUGCAUCCCAGUUCGG
This 502-nucleotide ribosomal RNA is filed under the name uncultured bacterium. RNAcentral's name for it is "bacterial SSU rRNA". It matches the Rfam family "Bacterial small subunit ribosomal RNA", at positions 791 to 1296 of the family's 1533-position model. The record is from RNAcentral.